Long non-coding RNA from Thunnus maccoyii (southern bluefin tuna), 642 nucleotides. RefSeq lists it as uncharacterized. The transcript has 4 exons. The record is from RefSeq and is a predicted model, not a curated record. Lineage: Eukaryota; Metazoa; Chordata; Actinopteri; Scombriformes; Scombridae.
UUCACCUGUAUAUAGUCAUUGCUUGUGUAUAUUUCUGAAGAUUGUGUUGUUUUUCUGUAUAAGUACAAGAUCUCAUCAUCGCCUCUGACCCUCAGCAGUGGCCUUCACUCAGGCCUCUAAUCCUCCAGGUCUGAUGGCUCCAGGAUGAGGAUAGCACACUGGUCACUAGAGACCCUGCCUGAUCUGAACCGUAAGGUUCUCUGUGAUCACAAUGAAUGGAUAUGUCUAUAACUCUGUGACAUCAUCAGGAGAUCUGGAUCAAUGGACCUGAUGCUGCUUGUCAACCUGGUAAAAGCUCCUGUGUCUCCUUGAACUGGUCUCAUCUUCAGUACUUCAGCACAUCAGUGCAACAUGCAUCUGUCCAGACUCUUCUGGUUAUCCUCCUUCACCUUAUACCUCCAUACAUUCCUCCUCUGGUCAGACUGCAGCCUCAGCCCUCAGCUGAUGAUGCAUGGUACCAGUAUAAAAAAAACAUCAGAACUUUCUUCCAGAUGAGAUUCGAUCCUGUGCUUGCUUGAGAAGACAGCAAAAGGUUACGUCUAGUCAUGAAAGCCCUUUACACAUACCAGCAGCUGGCCACUGUAUGAAAAGCUGAGAUAGUGUCCGCUAUACUAACAAGGAGAGCUGAUUUGAAGGACAGAU